UUAUCACCCAUUACUUCUAGUGUUGUUCCUUGCUGUUUUUAAGUGUUUUUAAGCUGUUUUUGGAGUGUUUUAGUGUGUUUUGACAUAAAAAUCCAAAAAUCUCAUAAAAAUUUGAAAAAAAAAAUUUGUUUUGAAAAACCCAAAAAGAGUUGUUUUUGUGUGUUUAUUUGUGUCUUAGGGUACCUUCCAACACAAUGAUGAGGAUUUGAUUUUUAAUUACAUGACUGUUAAAGAGAGUUAUAAACAUGGAUGAAAAUUUGAUUUACUCUUUGGUGUAUGCUUGGUUGUGGUUAUAAUUUAUGAAUUCACAUGCAAUCCUAAAGGAAAAAUCAGUUUUUGUAACAUGCUUGAA
RNAcentral lists this long non-coding RNA (352 nucleotides) under Malus domestica (apple). RNAcentral describes it as "long non-coding RNA (MDOM_LNC019745)". The record is from RNAcentral. Lineage: Eukaryota; Viridiplantae; Streptophyta; Magnoliopsida; Rosales; Rosaceae.